Molecule: long non-coding RNA, 3860 nt
Filed under: Pongo abelii (Sumatran orangutan)
Lineage: Eukaryota; Metazoa; Chordata; Mammalia; Primates; Hominidae
Description: lincRNA
Source: RNAcentral
AAGUCAGGGCCACAGCGCUUCUGGUCCCCGAGACGUAGGGCUCCCGGGCUUCUGAGCGGCUCGGGUUCCGCGCUGCCGGCAGGGCUUCGGGGCUCCUUAGAGCCGGACCCUGUUUUUUUAGGAAAGGGCGCUGCGACCACCCCCGUCCCGGGCCUCAGCCCCUCUGCUGCAGACCCUCGGGAUCGUCGCUGGUAGGAGCUCUGUCGCCCGUGUCUGUGUCCAGGACCCCCGAAGCGCCGCGCCUAGGAACCCCCUAGCGCUGGGAGCCCGGCCCUGCUCGACCACGGGCUUUGGGCUGGAGGCAUCAUCGUCGCCACAGCGAACGCUUAUUUGGCACCGAGUGUGCGCCAGGCAUCGUUGUAAGCGCUUUAUACCCAUAACUGUUUUCAUCUCAGCCACCUGGUUCAGUAGAAGCCUUUCAUCCGCGUUUUACAGACGUGUGCAGGAAAGAUUCUGGAGCUCGGCCGAGAGGGAUGUGUGAGUGGAGACCAGUGAAGUAACAGUUUUUGUGUUACGAUGAUUUCUGUUUUCCUCUGCUGCCCUGUAAUGGCAGGAACUCGGAUAGUCUGGUCUUCAGACCAGGAGGUCUCCCAGGAGAGAAUGGAGAGCCAGCAUGCUGUGUGUCACGGUCCCUGGAUGAACGUUUGUGGAACUGGAUUGAAUUAAACAAGACGUGCAAAGCAAGUGGUUCACGAGAUUCGAUUGCUGUAGGGACCCCGUGGGUGUGGAAUUAGAUUAUUGGUCCUUUCAUGACUGGCUUAUUUCACAGAGCCCGAUGCCGUCGAGGUCCAUCCAUGCUGAGAUAUUUACGGAGCAUCCCCAGCUGCUGGGUGCUGGGACCCACCAGUGGGCAGGAGGGCCGUGCCCACCCCUUCCUGGAAAAGACAUUCACCAGGUAAAUGCAGAGAUUCAGCAUUGGGGUGACCCCAGCACACAGUCCUGAGGGAGGAAGCACAGUGAUUUGAUCGGAUUUGCUUUUCUCUUCCGUUUCGGAUUCCGUCCAACCCUUGAAGGACCUCUGAGGUGCCCCGUGGCUGGUUCUAGGCCCUAUUCAAGCCUCCUCCUCCAGAAAGCCUUCCCAGUCCUGGGCAUCUGUAGCCAGCUCGGCCUUUCUCACCUGGGGCCUGGAACAUCUCCCAUUCUGAACUGCUGUGUUUUGGGUUUACUGUUCUCUGGCUUUUGGUCCCAGGCAGACGGUGGCCUCUUGUGUUCAGGGACAAGGCGAAGAGCAUCCAUGCACCCCCACAGUACCCAGGCUAGGGUCUGUGCCUGCCAGGCCCCCGGCAAAGCCUGGAUGAUUAGGGCUGGGCUGCUCUCCUGCCUCUGUCCUGUCUCUGGCCUCUCCGUAUCAGCUGGUGGUCAUCCCGCCCUGCACCCGUCAUCCCGCCCUGCACCCAUCAUCCCGCCCUGCACCCGUCAUCCCGCCCUGCACGCCCCACCACGUGGAUGAGCUCCCUGGGGAGUUAAUGGCUAAUGGAGUCUCCGCUCUCUCUUGUCAAAUGCAGCCAUCAUCAGCUGGUGCUUUAAGGGACCCUCUCCCGUCCCCACCCUAUUCUCAGGUGGCUCCUACCCACACCACCUAAUGGUGAACCCCAACACGGGGACACAGGCAAUGCCUUCCCAGCACCACUGUGGGUGCCACCAGGCACGACUUCCUAAACACCCACAGAGCAAUACCUGGAAAUUCAGCUGAGGCAUUGGGACCCCAACCUCUCCCAGAGUGGCCCCAGCUCCACGGCGUCUGCAUGGCUCCAAUCAUGAGCAGAGCAGCCCCGACCUCCGUCCUGACCCAGGGCACCAGAGUGCCACUGCGGAUCUCACCACCAUACAAGCCAGACCUGCUAGGAAGCUCUUCCCUGCCCCACCAGCUCUCGGGCCGAUGCACACAACGGGGCCUUUUGAAUUCCCUGAGGUUAAGGUUCCCCUUGAGUCUCCUGGGCUACAAGCAAAUCCCCCGAGGGGAGAAGUCCAGGCUGACACAGCCUCCUGAACCCCUGCCUUGGGAGGCCACACCUCAUUUGCCUCUAGAACAGAUGAUUGGGGAGCACUGUUUGCAGAGUUCUCUCUCUCUGGAACGGUGAAGGAAUCUGAAGCCCAGAGAGGGAGAGUGAUGCCUCCUGGGUCACACAGCCCAUUGGGCAGGGCAGGGACAAACGGCGAGAAAAGGACCAGUGUGAGAGGAGAGCCAAGCCCAGCCAAGCCCAGGGUCUACCCACAUCCACACCUCACAGCCACCCGACGGGGAGGGCACCAUUGCCCCUUUUCAAAGGUGAGAAAAUGGAGGCUCAGAGAGGUUCAGCAACUUUUCCCACAGCUACUCCGUUGUAGAACUGCAGUUCCAGGUAUCCCCGAGCUCUCCCUUCCUGAGCCAUCUGCUCCUGCCCUCCUAUCCGAGCCCUGGCCCUCCCAGUCAAAGCAGGGUAGUGGCUGUUCAGAAGCCUUGGGGCUAGUCAAUCCCAGCUGUCUCGGACCAGGGCCCCCCAAGAGGAGACCCUGAAGGAUGCAGUUGAGAAUACGUGCUUCCUUUGGGAGGUGAUCUCAGGAAUUGCAGGGGAAAGAGGGGGAGCGUGUUAGUGACAGCUUUCCGGAGAAACAGAACCAAUGCACAGAGGAGAUUUAGGAUGAGGAAUCUGGUUUAUGUGACUCUGGGGACUGAGAAGUCCCACCAUCUGUGUUGCAAGCUGGAAACCCAGGGAAGCCUGAGGUGUGAUUCAAACUCAGCUCAGGUCCGGAGGCCUGAGAACCAGGGCAGCUGAUGGUGGACAUCCAGUCCCGGGGCAAGAGAGGAUGAGAUGUCCUGGCUCCAGUGGCAAGGCAGGAAAUGAGGGGUGAACUCCUCCUCCCUCUGCCGUCUGUUCUAUUCAAGCUCUUGAGGGAUUGGAUGAUGCCCAGCCACUUGGGGAGGGCAGCCCACCUUCCUGAGUCCACAAUUCAAAUGCUGAUCUAAUCCAGAAACACUCUUAUACACACAAUGUGUAGUCUGGGCACCCCACAGUGCACUUAAGUGGACACAUAAAAUUAACCAUCCCAGGGAGUGAGGUGGGUAAGGGAAGAUGGGCCGCAAUGGGUGUGUCUCCAUGCCUGCCACCACUGUGGGGAGCUGCUGGAGCACACGCCUCAAAGUCUUCCCUGAGGGAGAGGGAGCUGGGGUAUUUGUACCCCAGCUCUAUCAGGCAUUGGCUGAAUGUCCACACUCCUGGAUCACCACCUCUCAUCCUCAUGAUGUCCCAUGGUCCUCAUUUCACAAGUGAGCUCUGGGUACAUGGGGAGCAUCAGUCACACCCUGGGUCAGUACCUCAGCUGUCCCUCACAUGAUAUCCUCAUUAUCCACACUGCAAAGCAAACCAUCCCUAUGAUGGGUUCAUUGUGGAUCAUGACUUAGUGGGUCAAGAGUUUGGAAGUGGCUCAGCUGGGCGGUUCUUCCGCUCCAUGUGGCUGCCAGAUGGUACCCUGCUGGUGGGCACUCUGGUCUAGAGGGUCCAUGAUGGCUUUACUCACAUGCUUGGCAUCUUGGCAGGGACAGCUGGAAGGCAAAGUUCAGCUGGGACUCUCCACAGGGCUCCUCCCUGUGGCCUUUCCAGCACAGUGGUCUCAGGGUAGCUGGACUGCUUGCAUGUCAGCUCAGGGCUCCCAGAGCCACUGUCCCAAGAGACAGAAGGUGGAAACUGCCAGUCUCUUAGGCUAGGACCGGAAACCAGCACCCCUGCAUCCACAGCCUUUUGGUAGUGAUGAAAUAAACAUAACAUUUAUCAUUUUAAUCAUUUGUAAGUGGGAUUAAAUACAUUUACAAUAUUGUGCAACCAUCGGCACUGUCUAUACCUAAAACUUUUUCAUCAUCUGCAAUAAAAACUCUGUAUGCA